CUGGGGUUAAAUAGAAGAGCUUAAUCAGACUAGCUGAAUGGAAGCCUGUUACCGGGCCGAUGUUUAUGCGAAAUGCUAAUACGGUGACUACGCUCGUAGAUAUUUAAGUGCCGAUAUUUCUGGACGUGGGUUCGACUCCCACCAUCUCCAUAU
Molecule: transfer-messenger RNA, 153 nt
Filed under: Listeria monocytogenes
Lineage: Bacteria; Bacillati; Bacillota; Bacilli; Caryophanales; Listeriaceae
Description: partial transfer-messenger RNA
Rfam family: transfer-messenger RNA
About the family: Bacterial tmRNA, also known as 10Sa RNA or SsrA, is named for its dual tRNA and mRNA-like properties. Its role is to liberate the mRNA from a stalled ribosome. To accomplish this part of the tmRNA is used as a reading frame that ends in a translation stop signal.
Source: RNAcentral